This 206-nucleotide long non-coding RNA is filed under the name Salvia miltiorrhiza (redroot sage). RNAcentral's name for it is "long non-coding RNA (SMIL_LNC001074)". Lineage: Eukaryota; Viridiplantae; Streptophyta; Magnoliopsida; Lamiales; Lamiaceae. The record is from RNAcentral.
GCUUCCCUAUUUAAUUUUAGGAUCUCGAUUUUAUAAAUGCAUACACCAGAUCUCUUAUUUUCUACAUAAAAACAAUAAUUAUGUGUGGGCCCUAUUAAUUAUAAGCUUAAAAUAAAUUUAGGGUGAGUGUAAAUUUAAGAUUGAAUUUAGGUAGGUGUAAAUUUUUUUGUGGGCCCCAUCCAAUUUAGGGGAUCUGCUGGAUGCAU